Molecule: ribosomal RNA, 465 nt
Filed under: Vreelandella stevensii
Lineage: Bacteria; Pseudomonadati; Pseudomonadota; Gammaproteobacteria; Oceanospirillales; Halomonadaceae
Description: partial 16S ribosomal RNA
Rfam family: Bacterial small subunit ribosomal RNA
Source: RNAcentral
CCUACGGGAGGCAGCAGUGGGGAAUAUUGGACAAUGGGGGGAACCCUGAUCCAGCCAUGCCGCGUGUGUGAAGAAGGCCCUCGGGUUGUAAAGCACUUUCAGUGAGGAAGAACGCCUGGUGGUUAAUACCCAUCAGGAAAGACAUCACUCACAGAAGAAGCACCGGCUAACUCCGUGCCAGCAGCCGCGGUAAUACGGAGGGUGCGAGCGUUAAUCGGAAUUACUGGGCGUAAAGCGCGCGUAGGUGGCUUGAUAAGCCGGUUGUGAAAGCCCCGGGCUCAACCUGGGAACGGCAUCCGGAACUGUCAAGCUAGAGUGCAGGCGAGGAAGGUAGAAUUCGCGGUGUAGCGGUGAAAUGCGUAGAGAUCGGGAGGAAUACCAGUGGCGAAGGCGGCCUUCUGGACUGAAACUGACACUGAGGUGCGAAAGCGUGGGUAGCAAACAGGAUUAGAUACCCCUGUAGUC